CCAGUGUGGAUAUCCUGGGAGGUCACUCUCCCCAGGCGCUGUCCACGUGGCAUGGGGGAGCACAGGACUCUGUUCAUAAUAUACAGGAGAGUCACAAAGGCAAAGAAAAUGAGGAACAGAAUAAUCAAGAAUGACAUUAAGCAGCU
RNAcentral lists this small nucleolar RNA (146 nucleotides) under Nomascus leucogenys (northern white-cheeked gibbon). RNAcentral's name for it is "Small nucleolar RNA SNORA73 family (ENSNLEG00000023638.2)". Lineage: Eukaryota; Metazoa; Chordata; Mammalia; Primates; Hylobatidae. The record is from RNAcentral.